CGUAUAAACAGUAACAUCCAUUUAACAUCUAAUGUUACAGAUCCACAUGGACACAAAAGUUUGUUCAGAUCAUUUUACAGAUGAAUGUUUUUUGAAGACCCUGGUUGGCAUGCGAAAGUUGAAACAAGGUUCUGUUCCAACAUUGUUUGCCUGGACAAAUAGUACCGUGAGGCCUGCAAGGAGGUCUAUCGUCAGAACUACAAGUCAUGCAACCACUGCAGUUGUUGAAGAGGAUGUCCAGCAGGAUGAUGUAAAUUCUAAUGAGUUAAGUGCAGAGGCGGCCCCUCCACACCCUGAUCAUGAAUAUGCUGAACUGCCCCCGCCGCUGGAGGAGCAACUGAAGGAAGCCCACAAGAUCAUCAACAAUCAAGCAGAACUAAUUGCACAUUUUCAAACCCAGCAGUUUCUCCUUCAAAGAUUCCAAGGCGAUGAUAAGAACAUUAUGUUUUACACAGGUUUUCCUGAUUACAACACACUGAAAGCAGUGUUUAUGGCCCUACAGCCUACUGCAGAAAACAUGGUAGGGUGGAGUCAGGCACAGCGAAUACGGAAAGUUGACAGGGAAAUUGUAAGGCAGGGGUUUAGCAUUCCUAAACUGGCCGUCAUUGACCAGUUUUUUCUAUUUCUUUGUCGUCUUAGGCAAGGUUUUCCUGAACAGGACCUUGCAGUGCACUUUGAUGUGUCACAGUCAACUGUAAGCAGGGUCUGUGUAACCUGGGCAAACUACCUACAUUUCAUGUUAGGAUCACUUCCAAUUUGGCCUUCGAGAGAAACCGUAAAUGAGCUCAUGCCUCCUUGUUUCCAAAGCACCU
Esox lucius (northern pike) is the source of this 812-nucleotide long non-coding RNA. RefSeq lists it as uncharacterized. Lineage: Eukaryota; Metazoa; Chordata; Actinopteri; Esociformes; Esocidae. The record is from RefSeq and is a predicted model, not a curated record. The transcript has 3 exons.